RNAcentral lists this ribosomal RNA (461 nucleotides) under uncultured bacterium. RNAcentral describes it as "partial 16S ribosomal RNA". It matches the Rfam family "Bacterial small subunit ribosomal RNA", at positions 338 to 795 of the family's 1533-position model. The record is from RNAcentral.
CCUACGGGAGGCAGCAGUGAGGAAUAUUGGUCAAUGGGCUUACGCCUGAACCAGCCAAGUCGCGUGAGGGAAGACUGCCCUAUGGGUUGUAAACCUCUUUUGUCAGGGAGCAAUUGGCGCUACGUGUAGCGUUAUCGAGAGUACCUGAAGAAAAAGCAUCGGCUAACUCCGUGCCAGCAGCCGCGGUAAUACGGAGGAUGCGAGCGUUAUCCGGAUUUAUUGGGUUUAAAGGGUGCGUAGGCGGAAUGCCAAGUCAGCGGUAAAAUCGCGGGGCUCAACCUCGGAACUGCAUUUGAAACUGUUUUUCUUGAGUACCGGAGAGGUCAUCGGAAUUCCUUGUGUAGCGGUGAAAUGCGUAGAUAUAAGGAAGAACACCAGUGGCGAAGGCGGAUGACUGGACGGCAACUGACGGUGAGGCGCGAAAGCGUGGGGAGCAAACAGGAUUAGAUACCCCGGUAGUC